GAGUUUGAUUCUGGCUCAGAUUGAACGCUGGCGGAAUGCUUUACACAUGCAAGUCGAGCGGCAGCGCGGGGCAACCUGGCGGCGAGCGGCGAACGGGUGAGUAAUACAUCGGAACGUGCCCAGACGUGGGGGAUAGCCCGGCGAAAGCCGCAUUAAUACCGCAUGUGAUCUGAGGAUGAAAGCGGGGGACCUUUGGGCCUCGCGCGUUUGGAGCGGCCGAUGGCAGAUUAGGUAGUUGGUGGGGUAAAGGCUUACCAAGCCUGCGAUCUGUAGCUGGUCUGAGAGGAUGAUCAGCCACACUGGGACUGAGACACGGCCCAGACUCCUACGGGAGGCAGCAGUGGGGAAUUUUGGACAAUGGGCGAAAGCCUGAUCCAGCCAUUCCGCGUGCAGGACGAAGGCCCUCGGGUUGUAAACUGCUUUUGUACAGAACGAAAAAUCUCUGG
RNAcentral lists this ribosomal RNA (446 nucleotides) under Ottowia sp. canine oral taxon 014. RNAcentral describes it as "bacterial SSU rRNA". It matches the Rfam family "Bacterial small subunit ribosomal RNA", at positions 9 to 459 of the family's 1533-position model. Lineage: Bacteria; Pseudomonadati; Pseudomonadota; Betaproteobacteria; Burkholderiales; Comamonadaceae. The record is from RNAcentral.